UAAUACGGAGGAUCCGAGCGUUAUCCGGAUUUAUUGGGUUUAAAGGGUGCGUAGGCGGGAGAUUAAGUCAGCGGUGAAAGUUUGCAGCUUAACUGUAAAAUUGCCGUUGAAACUGAUUUUCUUGAGUGUAAAUAAGGUAGGCGGAAUGUGUUGUGUAGCGGUGAAAUGCAUAGAUAUAACACAGAACCCCGAUUGCGAAGGCAGCUUACCGGGCUACAACUGACGCUGAGGCACGAAAGCGUGGGGAUCAAACAGGAUUAGAUACCCUGGUAGUCCACGCAGUAAACGAUGAAUACUAACUGUUUGCGAUAUACAGUAAGCGGUACAGCGAAAGCGUUAAGUAUUCCACCUGGGGAGUACGUUCGCAAGAAUGAAACUCAAAUGAAUUGACGG
This 393-nucleotide ribosomal RNA is filed under the name uncultured bacterium. RNAcentral describes it as "bacterial SSU rRNA". It matches the Rfam family "Bacterial small subunit ribosomal RNA", at positions 521 to 916 of the family's 1533-position model. The record is from RNAcentral.